Long non-coding RNA from Scylla paramamosain (green mud crab), 1170 nucleotides. RefSeq lists it as uncharacterized. The record is from RefSeq and is a predicted model, not a curated record. The transcript has 4 exons. NCBI's taxonomy places the organism in Eukaryota, Metazoa, Arthropoda, Malacostraca, Decapoda, Portunidae.
AGCAUCGAAGCUGGAGAAUCUCGAGUCAAUUGCUUCGGGUAUUCGACCACCACGCCCUCACCGUUCCUUCCCCAGUCCGCCUCAACACACCUUGGAUUUCUUCCAUUCCUCUCCUCCUUGUGAGCCAAAAUUCUGAAAAAAAAACAAGUCGCCUCUUUAUUGACGCACCAGCGGAGGUCAUUGAACAGUGAAAGGAUACCCUGUGCAGAAUCAGAGCCCGUCAUUUCAUGCACCUCAGAGGCAGAGGUGAAAAUGUUAAUAAUGAACACCUGCGUAAAAGUCUCACCACCAAGGAUUUACAACGAUGAAAUCAGUGAUAAUCCAAUCUUGUGACGCCACUCAGCUGAUGACCGCAUGGAGGGGGAGGAGGAGCAGGACCAGGAGGAGGAAGAGGAGAAGGAGAAAGAGGAAGAGGAAGAGGAAGAGGAGCGGGAGACUCUGGGUUUCCAGGGCAUCGUGUCCGCCUCCCGAGCACGACUUUGAUGCCACGGCCUCGUGAAGGAAGCUUUCCCGCGGCGCACCUCCUGGUGUUACGCUCCAGGGGCUCAGGUGCUUCCCCGGGCAGGCAAGGGCGGUCAUGUUGCCACAGCACACCAUGGGAGGGAUAAGGGGAGAGGGGGUGGGGUUAGGGGGUUAUGCCGCCCGCAGCCUCCCGCCGGGACAAGAUCGAUGUGGCUUUGAUGGCGACCUUGACCAGUCUGUUGGAAAUUUAUAUUUUACCCUUGCUAAUAGCCAGUCAUUAUGGCAAUUAUCUAUAAUGGCGGCAACAGCAACAAAAACAUUGCUGAGACUGAAUGAUGUUAUUAUUAUUAUUAUUAUUAUUAUUAUUAUUAUUAUUAUUAUUAUUAUUAUUGUUAUUAUCAUUAUUAUUAUUAUUAUUAUUAUUAUUAUUAUUAUUAUUAUUAUUAUUAUUAUUAUUAUUAUUAUUGUUGUUGUUGUUUUAGUUAUGAUACUAUAAAUAAUGAUAAUAUAUGUUAAAUAUGAUAAUCAUAUCCGAAGUGAGAAUAACAACAACAACAAAAACAACAACAACAACAACAGUAACAGCAACAGCGGUAGUAGUUCACCAUGUAUUAGUAUUUCCCCUGCGCUAUACCGAAACGAAUAUCAGUAGCAGUUAUAUGUAUCCCCACUGAUUAAAAAGAACAAAAAAAUUGGAAUACAGAUUAA